This 301-nucleotide ribosomal RNA is filed under the name uncultured bacterium. RNAcentral's name for it is "partial 16S ribosomal RNA". It matches the Rfam family "Bacterial small subunit ribosomal RNA", at positions 509 to 807 of the family's 1533-position model. The record is from RNAcentral.
CAGUCGCCGCGGGAAAACGUAGGUGGCAAGCGUUGUCCGGAAUUAUUGGGCGUAAAGGGCUCGCAGGCGGUUUCUUAAGUCUGAUGUGAAAGCCCCCGGCUCAACCGGGGAGGGUCAUUGGAAACUGGGAAACUUGAGUGCAGAAGAGGAGAGUGGAAUUCCACGUGUAGUGGUGAAAUGCGUAGAGAUGUGGAGGAACACCAGUGGCGAAGGCGACUCUCUGGUCCGUAACUGACGCUGAGGAGCGAAAGCGUGGGGAGCGAACAGGAUUAGAUACCCGAGUAGUCCCUGUCUCUUAUAC